This 253-nucleotide ribosomal RNA is filed under the name uncultured bacterium. RNAcentral's name for it is "partial 16S ribosomal RNA". It matches the Rfam family "Bacterial small subunit ribosomal RNA", at positions 524 to 776 of the family's 1533-position model. The record is from RNAcentral.
UACGGAGGGUGCGAGCGUUGUCCGGAAUCACUGGGCGUAAAGGGCGCGUAGGUGGCGCGGGCAGUCAACGGUGAAAGUUCGGGGCUCAACCCUGAAUCGGCCGUCGAUACUCCCGGGCUUGAGCACUGUAGAGGCUAAUGGAAUUCCGGGUGUAGCGGUGGAAUGCGUAGAGAUCCGGAAGAGCACCGGUGGCGAAGGCGGUUAGCUGGGCAGUUGCUGACACUGAGGCGCGACAGCGUGGGGAGCAAACAGG